RNAcentral lists this ribosomal RNA (492 nucleotides) under uncultured bacterium. RNAcentral describes it as "partial 16S ribosomal RNA". It matches the Rfam family "Bacterial small subunit ribosomal RNA", at positions 29 to 507 of the family's 1533-position model. The record is from RNAcentral.
AGUGAACGCUGGCGGUAGGCCUAACACAUGCAAGUCGAACGGCAGCACAGUAAGAGCUUGCUCUUACGGGUGGCGAGUGGCGGACGGGUGAGGAAUACAUCGGAAUCUACUUUUUCGUGGGGGAUAACGUAGGGAAACUUACGCUAAUACCGCAUACGACCUACGGGUGAAAGCAGGGGAUCUUCGGACCUUGCGCGAUUGAAUGAGCCGAUGUCGGAUUAGCUAGUUGGCGGGGUAAAGGCCCACCAAGGCGACGAUCCGUAGCUGGUCUGAGAGGAUGAACAGCCACACUGGAACUGAGACACGGUCCAGACUCCUACGGGAGGCAGCAGUGGGGAAUAUUGGACAAUGGGCGCAAGCCUGAUCCAGCCAUACCGCGUGGGUGAAGAAGGCCUUCGGGUUGUAAAGCCCUUUUGUUGGGAAAGAAAAGCAGCAGGUUAAUACCCCGCUGUUCUGACGGUACCCAAAGAAUAAGCACCGGCUAACUACGUG